This 72-nucleotide transfer RNA is filed under the name Cohnella phaseoli. RNAcentral's name for it is "tRNA-Asn". It matches the Rfam family "tRNA". Rfam says of the family: Transfer RNA (tRNA) molecules are approximately 80 nucleotides in length. Their secondary structure includes four short double-helical elements and three loops (D, anti-codon, and T loops). Lineage: Bacteria; Bacillati; Bacillota; Bacilli; Caryophanales; Paenibacillaceae. The record is from RNAcentral.
AGGGCUGUAGCUCAGCGGUAGAGCGCCCGACUGUUAAUCGGACGGUCGCAGGUUCGAGCCCUGCCAACCCUG